RNAcentral lists this ribosomal RNA (439 nucleotides) under uncultured bacterium. Its description in RNAcentral is "partial 16S ribosomal RNA". It matches the Rfam family "Bacterial small subunit ribosomal RNA", at positions 338 to 795 of the family's 1533-position model. The record is from RNAcentral.
CCUACGGGUGGCAGCAGUGGGGAAUAUUGCACAAUGGGGGGAACCCUGAUGCAGCGACGCCGCGUGAGUGAAGAAGUAUUUCGGUAUGUAAAGCUCUAUCAGCAGGGAAGAAAAUGACGGUACCUGACUAAGAAGCCCCGGCUAACUACGUGCCAGCAGCCGCGGUAAUACGUAGGGGGCAAGCGUUAUCCGGAUUUACUGGGUGAAAAGGGAGCGCAGACGGCUGUGCAAGUCUGGGGUGAAAGGCGGGGGCCCAACCCCCGGACUGCUCUGGAAACUGUAAAGCUGGAGUGCAGGAGAGGUAAGCGGAAUUCCUAGUGUAGCGGUGGAAUGCGUAGAUAUUAGGAGGAACACCAGGGGCGAAGGCGGCUUACUGGACUGCAACUGACGUUGAGGCUCGAAAGCGUGGGGAGCAAACAGGAUUAGAUACCCCUUAGUC